UUGCUUUGGCGGCACAUAUACUAAAAUUGGAAUGAUACAGAGAAGAUUAGCAUGGCUCCUGCACAAGGAUGACAUGCAAAUUUGCGAAGUAUUCCUUUUUUUU
This is a small nuclear RNA of Saimiri boliviensis boliviensis (Bolivian squirrel monkey), 103 nucleotides long. The record is from Ensembl. Lineage: Eukaryota; Metazoa; Chordata; Mammalia; Primates; Cebidae.